UACGGAGGGGGCGAGCGUUAUUCGGAAUCAUUGGGCGUAAAGGGCGCGUAGGCGGCCUAGCAAGUCAGGGGUGAAAUCCCUCGGCUCAACCGAGGAACUGCAUCUGAAACUGCGUGGCUAGAGACCGGGAGGGGGUAGGGGAAUUCCCGGUGUAGCGGUGAAAUGCGUAGAUAUUGGGAGGAACACCAGUGGCGAAGGCGGCCCCCUGGACCGGGUCUGACGCUGAGACGCGAAAGCGUGGGUAGCAAACAGG
This 253-nucleotide ribosomal RNA is filed under the name uncultured bacterium. Its description in RNAcentral is "partial 16S ribosomal RNA". It matches the Rfam family "Bacterial small subunit ribosomal RNA", at positions 524 to 776 of the family's 1533-position model. The record is from RNAcentral.